CGAAUGCUGACAUAAGUAACGAUAAAGCGGGUGAAAAGCCCGCUCGCCGGAAGACCAAGGGUUCCUGUCCAACGUUAAUCGGGGCAGGGUGAGUCGACCCCUAAGGCGAGGCCGAAAGGCGUAGUCGAUGGGAAACAGGUUAAUAUUCCUGUACUUGGUGUUACUGCGAAGGGGGGACGGAGAAGGCUAUGUUGGCCGGGCGACGGUUGUCCCGGUUUAAGCGUGUAGGCUGGUUUUCCAGGCAAAUCCGGAAAAUCAAGGCUGAGGCGUGAUGACGAGGCACUACGGUGCUGAAGCAACAAAUGCCCUGCUUCCAGGAAAAGCCUCUAAGCAUCAGGUAACAUCAAAUCGUACCCCAAACCGACACAGGUGGU
Molecule: ribosomal RNA, 374 nt
Filed under: Escherichia coli
Lineage: Bacteria; Pseudomonadati; Pseudomonadota; Gammaproteobacteria; Enterobacterales; Enterobacteriaceae
Also listed under: 4 other names
Description: bacterial LSU rRNA
Rfam family: Bacterial large subunit ribosomal RNA
Source: RNAcentral